Solea solea (common sole) is the source of this 1401-nucleotide long non-coding RNA. RefSeq lists it as uncharacterized. Lineage: Eukaryota; Metazoa; Chordata; Actinopteri; Pleuronectiformes; Soleidae. The record is from RefSeq and is a predicted model, not a curated record. The transcript is spliced from 3 exons.
CACACGUAUGGUGAAAAAAAGGGGCGUUUAUUUCAACGACUACUGUAGCUUUAAGAGAAUUAUCGACCAUCAUCACACUCCAGCCAAGCAACGUAGUUCCCCACCACAGCAGCAGCGGAUUAAUAUCCAAAACGUUAACAGGUUAGUGUCUGCUCAGCAGGUGGAUGAACAUGUAAUGGAGUUGCAGCAUCAGUCGCUGACCAAGGAAUUACUGGGGAAGUUGGUGGUAGAGGGAGGCUAUUGACAUGUCACAGGAAGAUGCUCAAAAAUGUAGAGCACAUGGAGAAGAUCUCUAUGCUGGCUUUCCAUCCAGUUAAGAUGCACAGCUGCUAUGAGAAGGUGGUGAACCUGAGCCUUGAGGGUCUGCAUCAACAGUUUGACCAAAUGGACAAUGCUGUGUAGAUGUUUGAGCAGAUCCUUCAUCAGAGUCUCGAGUCUCAGGGUACAGAGGAGCUGUGUAAGAUCAUCCAGCACUGCCAGGACAGAGUCAUUAAGGUAAUACCCAAAGAAAACAGGCUUGUGCAUCAAAUUCUUGCAUAACAUCCACAUUAAUAUCUCAUAAUAUUACAUCUGGCAUACUCCAGCCCUGGGAGUGAAACUUUUGGUCUGGCCUUGUUUUAGUGUAAAAGAAAAUUCAGGGUUUUGUUUCACUUCAGAUGAGCACAAAUUAAGACGUCAGGAAACGUAAGUGACUGCCACUGCCUGUGUCACUCCUACACAAGGUGUAGCUAUUGUAAAACAAGAUGUGAGUCAGUAUAUGAAAUCAGUGUUUUUCUCUUUCUCGUUCUUAAAUAUGAUGUCAUCAUCCCAGUUUCUUGAAUGUCUAAUGAACUAAACAUCAUUUAGCGAGAUAACCACGUCCUGUGCCAAAUUAAUAAAAUGCACAUGGAAAGAGUGACACCACUAUUGUUCAUGAAAGAUUGCACCAAAACAACUCAAAAUGAAGUAAACUUAUUUCAAUUGUACCGGUUUUCUUAACAGUUGACCUUUCACAAUGGCAGCAUUGAGUGUUUUUUUUUGUUGUUUUUUUCUGGAGCCUUUAUUAUCAAACCUCUUACUGACCUAAAUGACGGUGGUCUAAUAAUGACCACAGUAGGCAUGAAUCAUUGUAAAAUUGAUUACAGUCAAAAUAAUAUAAGAUGUAGCUACUUGUUUGAAUGACAUACAGCAUAAUAUUUUCAUGGGGGUUAAUGCAAUUAUUUACCAAUCAGAGUGACAGCUGACCAAAUGGAAUCAUCAGCAGGAUUAAUCUCUUCUGGCUCUUACCCUGGUCUGGCAGAGCUUCAGAGAAUAAAUCUCCAUGGCAACCUAACUUUAUCAAUUUAUUAUUUUGAGCAAGAGUCCAGGAUACCGGGCAAUAUCCCAGCUUAAUCCCUUCUGUGCAUGGUCCUCUGAUAUUUU